GGCCCAAAUUUUUGAAGUGAAAGGGCUCAAGUAAACAAAAGGUGAUCUGGACGCCCAGGCUCUUUCCUUUGAGCCAAAAUCAAGCCCAGCUGUAUCAAAACAUUGAUUAUCACAUGUGCUUGAUCUCCAGCGUAGAGUCAGAUUGAGCAUCUAGGUCGACAGUUAGACGAACGACUGGUGUGCGAAGUUGGCGUGACCCAUUUUGAUCUUGUAUAUAGCUUGUUGUCCUAUUUGCUAUCACACCACCGCUUCAAUUAAAAAAACAAAGACCAAAAAAACAAGGGUGAGGCUUCAAUCAUUUUGCUUGAUGUGAUUGGUACUUUGUAUGGUUUGCUUUGGAGGUGGUGGUUUAUGAUAGUCGAUGGGAGACAGAAGGCUGGGAGGCUCUUUAGUUGUGGCGGGUAUUUCUGUUUUUCAAAGAGGGUGAAUGUGGAGAGUGAUCGGAACUCGGCCAUUAGUGACACUAUGUUCGAAUGCUGGAAUUUGCAGCAGCCAGGAUUGUAUUAAGACGUCGGCCGUUCAUGAACGACCAUGUUAGUCUUAAUGCAGGAGGAGAUCCCAAUGGAAUGUGGCCGUUCAUGAAUGACUAUGGUUGUUUUCAAAAGGAUAUGGGUUGUUCAUGAACAGCCCUCCUUUUGUUUGAAGCAAGCUUUUCAGUUCUUUGUCAAAGAAGACAAGAAUAGCAUGACGUGGUGUAUACCUGGGCUUCUCCCCUGCAGCUUGGCUUGUCGUCACUGUUUAUCUCGACAGAAUUUCAACAAUUAAUUGUUGCUUCUUUUUUGACCCUCUGGUUCGGCAAAGCUUUAGCUUUUACUUGCUGAUUUCUUCCUCCUCUCCGUGUAUCUUUUGUAUUUCUCCUCCCCCGAAUUAUUGUUAAAAGCCUCAUUUUAUAUGCAACGUAGAAGGAUAAGAGAUCAUGUUGGUUGAGUUCAAUUUGUUUUGAAAUUGAAAUGAUCUUCGGAUGACGAUAACCACCUCCACAUUCAAAUUUGUAU
This is a long non-coding RNA of Rosa chinensis, 995 nucleotides long. RefSeq lists it as uncharacterized. NCBI's taxonomy places the organism in Eukaryota, Viridiplantae, Streptophyta, Magnoliopsida, Rosales, Rosaceae. The record is from RefSeq and is a predicted model, not a curated record. The transcript is spliced from 3 exons.